Small nucleolar RNA from Lontra canadensis (Northern American river otter), 70 nucleotides. NCBI's taxonomy places the organism in Eukaryota, Metazoa, Chordata, Mammalia, Carnivora, Mustelidae. The record is from RefSeq and is a predicted model, not a curated record.
UCUUAUGAUGAAAACUGUGUCCAGUUCUGCUACUGAAGGGAAAUAGAUGAAAGCCUUAAGUGCUGAGGAA